RNAcentral lists this ribosomal RNA (458 nucleotides) under uncultured bacterium. Its description in RNAcentral is "partial 16S ribosomal RNA". It matches the Rfam family "Bacterial small subunit ribosomal RNA", at positions 338 to 795 of the family's 1533-position model. The record is from RNAcentral.
CCUACGGGGGGCUGCAGUGGGGAAUAUUGCACAAUGGGGGAAACCCUGAUGCAGCGACGCCGCGUGAGUGAAGAAGUAAUUCGUUACGUAAAGCUCUAUCAGCAGGGAAGAAACACCGACCUUACGGUCAGCAGACGGUACCUGUGUAAGAAGCCCCGGCUAACUCCGUGACAGCAGCCGCGGUAAUACGGAGGGGGCCAGCGUUAUCCGGAUUGACUGGGUGUAAAGGGAGCGUAGACGGUAUGGGAAGUCUGAAGGGAAAGCCGAGGGCUUAACCCUGGGACUGCUUUGGAAACUGUUAGACUAGAGUGCUGGAGAGGUAGGUGGAAGUCCUAGUGUAGCGGUGAAAUGCGUAGAUAUUAGGAGGAACACCAGUGGCGAAGGCGGCUUACUGGACAGUAACUGACGUUGAGGCUCGAAAGCGUGGGGAGCAAACAGGAUUAGAUACCCUGGUAGUC